UCAAUUCAUGGUAAACCGCACCUUGCCAUGGUAGCCUCCUUUAAUUGGGUUCAGCUGGGAAGACUUGCAUGGAGGACAAACAGUUUUGGAGCGUGUGGUGUGGUGUGUGGUCAGGUCUCGCUGCUGUGACAAUGUGCCAUUCAAGUACUGGACAUUCAAUCAUUUGCAGGCGUCAAACUGGUCAACACAGUCGCCCUCAGUAUCAGCCCAAAGGGACACCAGUCACUGGGAACUCCUCCAACCAUUGAAGAUGCUCUCCCUCCUGACAGAUGCUGUGUUCCUCCUCUUCCUCUUUAAAAUGGGAGAGUGAAGAUGUUCUUCACAGACGUCUGCAGGACACAAGAAGACAAAAAUGCUCGAGAGGAGUGCAUCUUUUUUUCAGUCACAUGUUAGGAGCGAUAUUGAUAAGAUUUUACCAAUUCAGAUUUCCUUUUCAAUUCUGCUUUACAAUUCAGUUAUUUGUGGACUCACUUUUGCUUUCAAAUUCGGUUAAAAGGAGAAGAAACAGGUCAAUUAGCACCAACAGUGAGGUCUUAAGAGGCCCAGACCUUACGGUUACCCCAUGGGGUGCCAGAGGGCCCUAAUGACUAUAUUCUGCUUUGAAAAUAUCUAUAAAAAAUAUUUUUGGCUAUAAAUUAAUUAGAUACUACACGUUAUUUUUGUGGUAUUACACAAAACUUUCCCCCAGAAGGUUUUAUCUUUGUCCAUGUGAUGUCAGAUGAAACAAAAAUCGAGCUGUUU
Molecule: long non-coding RNA, 741 nt
Organism: Nerophis ophidion (straightnose pipefish)
Lineage: Eukaryota; Metazoa; Chordata; Actinopteri; Syngnathiformes; Syngnathidae
Exons: 4
Source: RefSeq, a predicted model, not a curated record